GAUGUUGCAGACAAAGUGCGUCGAGCGGUGGUAAUGGAUAGAUCGUAAAGACGCUGCAAGUACGUCCUUGUAAGCUCGAGCCGCGCCAUCCUUGGCGCGGACGCUUU
RNAcentral lists this non-coding RNA (107 nucleotides) under Pectobacterium atrosepticum SCRI1043. Its description in RNAcentral is "Yersinia sRNA 224". It matches the Rfam family "Yersinia sRNA 224". The record is from Rfam by way of RNAcentral. Lineage: Bacteria; Pseudomonadati; Pseudomonadota; Gammaproteobacteria; Enterobacterales; Pectobacteriaceae.